AUAGAAAGAUAAACAGCAGAGACCCUCUAGGAAGUAGAGAAAUGGAUACUAACUGGUGCAAAAGAGUGAUCCCAGAUAAUGGAUGGCAUAGGUAAAAUUAAGAACUAGAGUAAAAGGAUUGAGGGGAGCAGCCCAAAUCUGAAGUUUUUUUGUUUUGUUUUGGGGCCAAACCUGUGGCAUAUGGAAGUUCCCAGGCUACGGAUUAAAUCAGAGCUAUAGCUGCUGGCCUGCACCACAGCCACAGCAACGCCAGAUAUGAGCUGCAUCUAGCGACCUCCACCACAGCUCUUGGCAAUGCUGGAUCCCCAACCCGCUGAGUGGGGCCAAGGAUCGAACCCACAUUCUCAUGGAUACUAGUCAGGUUCGUUUCCACUGAGCCACAACAGGAACUCCCUGGAAAGCUCUUAAAUGAACUAUUUAUUAACUAUUCUUUGCCUCUCCUCAUUCUCCUGCUUCUUCCUAAUAUAGUCAUAACUUGGGACAAGAUGUGAUCACAGACAUUGCAUGAAAUGUGGUGACAUUCCUAAUAGGAUAUGAUACAGAUCAGAUGGGGAGGAGAUCGGAAGCGGGGAGGGUAGGGAAUCUGCUUGUGGGAAUCUGCUGGGUUUUGAAUGGGCUUGAGAUUGCUCCCAAAGAAAUGAGAGUUUCUGAGGGAAACAAUGGAAGGUGAGGGAAUGGGUCCUGAGGAGAUCAGGGCAACACAGGCUUUCGAGAGAGAACGGGAAAUCAGACUGGAUGGGCCCAUUGACAGACCCAAUCUGCCAAUGGAAUGAAGACUCCAAAUGGUAAAAAAGAACUGGGAGACACUCAGGGGUUAUUUAGGAGGGGGCUGACAUAAAGAAUGAUCUUUAAAAUUCAUCAAGCAGUUAAAGAGCUAGGAAGGUCACAGAGGAGAACUCUGCACUGAAAUAAUGUCUUCCUUUGUUCCUUGUCUGGUCCUGGUAGCUGUAGAUGUUACUUAAUCCAACCCUGGCACUCAAGACUGCAGAGACUGCCCACUCCAUAGCUAUAAGCUAGCUUCCCACAGCUCAUACCUAAGAUCACCUAAGAUACCUAAGUUUUAUCUUCAAGGAUCAAUAGAAGGCCCUGCAGAUUGACUAGGGCCAGGAAA
RNAcentral lists this long non-coding RNA (1111 nucleotides) under Sus scrofa (pig). Its description in RNAcentral is "lncRNA (ENSSSCG00070002016.1)". Lineage: Eukaryota; Metazoa; Chordata; Mammalia; Artiodactyla; Suidae. The record is from RNAcentral.